Molecule: ribosomal RNA, 425 nt
Filed under: uncultured bacterium
Lineage: Bacteria
Description: partial 16S ribosomal RNA
Rfam family: Bacterial small subunit ribosomal RNA
Source: RNAcentral
GUGGGGAAUCUUGCGCAAUGGGCGAAAGCCUGACGCAGCCAUGCCGCGUGAAUGAUGAAGGUCUUAGGAUUGUAAAAUUCUUUCACCGGGGACGAUAAUGACGGUACCCGGAGAAGAAGCUCCGGCUAACUUCGUGCCAGCAGCCGCGGUAAUACGAAGGGGGCUAGCGUUGCUCGGAAUUACUGGGCGUAAAGGGCGCGUAGGCGGACAGCUUAGUCAGAGGUGAAAGCCCAGGGCUCAACCUUGGAAUUGCCUUUGAUACUGGCUGUCUUGAGUUUGGGAGAGGUGAGUGGAACUCCGAGUGUAGAGGUGAAAUUCGUAGAUAUUCUGAAGAACACCAGUGGCGAAGGCGACUCACUGGCCCAAUACUGACGCUGAGGCGCGAAAGCGUGGGGAGCAAACAGGAUUAGAUACCCUUGUAGUCC